AUGGGGCAAUAUUUAACAAAAACUGAAGAAAGUUCGCUCAAUUAUGUGGAUCUACCAGAUACUGUCCAUAGAAAAAUAUUUGAAUACUUGAAUCCAUGGGAAAUCUUCAAACUAUCUCGCAUUUCAAAAGCCAUUCAUGUGACGAUCCUUAAAAACAAAAAGUUCGCUGUAAAAGAUAUUGACUUAUGUACUGAUGAAAACAUUCUGAAAUUUCAAUUUCAAUUUGUGAACAAUAUCGUUUUGUCAUGGGAGUUUUACAAUCUUCACGAGAAACCAUAUUUUACCAGCCAAUUUUCAAAUCGUUGCCAGUAUAGACAACAGUAUGAUAUUAAAAAUUAUUAUGAAAACCCCGAGGAAGCAUUUCUUUUUGCAUUCCGAAAUGCGCUUUCAAUUUUUAAUGUGCAAAAUUCCAAAUUAAAAAGAUUUUAUCUAGCUCCAAGUAAACUUGAGUUGUUCUUCAAGUUACCGUACUCAUUCAUAGACGGCCGAAAUUGUGAAAACUUGAGUAUUUGGAAUAAGAAGGCGAAUGAUGAAGAUGAACGAGACUUUUCGAUCAAUUUCGCAAAAGCUGUUUUGGAAAAAAUGGGAGUCGUGAGAAAUUUGAGAUUAUUGUUCAAUUGUAGCACAAAGGAUAAUGAAUUUGAUUGUGAAAAGGAAUACUACAAUUCUGAAACGGAUAAGUUGAUGCCAAAUGAUUGGUACUUGUACAACAAAUUCGAUGAUAUAGAUCUUAAUGUAUUUCUGAAAAACUGGCUCAACUUCAGAGAUCCUUUAAUUAGAAAAUUCCGUAUUCGAGGAAAACGAAAUUUCAAUACAGCAAUUAUUUUUGAUGGAAUUGAAACAAUUCCAUGGGAUCAAAGAAAUGGUUUAAAUGUAUAUUAUUAUUCUGCAACUGCAAAUGAUACUGGAUCUUUGAUAUUUCAAGCAAACGAAAAUCAUGCAAUCGUUAAAGUUGGAGCAAUAAAUGGAAAUGAGAGCUCUGGUUAUAUGGAAUUUUUAUUCAUUACAUUUUAAGCUCGUCGGAUAAAUUUUUGGCACUUUUUUUGAUUUUCCAAAACUUCUGGAAACGAUUAAUUUUAACAUAGAAUCAAGAGCCUAUAAGCUAAUCAAAGCUUCAACACACAUAGUUUUCAAACAAUUUCCGGAUGGCUCCGUUAGCAUUUUCAAUGAACAUUUAUUUUCCCUUUCCAAGUAUCCCGUGACGAAAAAUCAGGCCAUAAAAAUCCGCUACCUCCAAACGCGGGAAUUCAAAUCGAAUUAUGAAAAUUUGGAAUGGUAUAAAAGGAAGCUGCAGGAGGAAAUUAAUUCAGUAUCAGCCAACAUGAACAGCCUUUUGAUUGCUUCUCUCCUCAUUCUCGGGGUUUCCAGCCAAUCGACGAUAAUCAACCCGAAUUUCAACAAACAUUCUUCGGAAUCAUCGGAUCAGCCAAAGAAAAUCCUUGUAGCACCAAUGCUGAUUGUUUGCCAAGUGGAAAUUGUGUAGAUGGAGAAUGCCUUGUAGACAACGGAAACGGAGGUCUUUGCACAACCAAUACGCAAUGCCCAAAUGGAUAUCAAUGUGUUAAUCGGAAAUGCUCCAGGAAUAGUCGUCAUUUCAAUGAUCUGCCAUGUGUCACUGAAACUGAAUGUCCACCAGGAACCAGAUGUAUCAACGGAGUCUGUACUGGCAUUGAUAACAAGUUCUAUUAAGUUUUUCAUUUAAAAUAAAGUACGUUGUUUAAUAAAAUCAUUUUGG
This 1735-nucleotide unclassified non-coding RNA is filed under the name Caenorhabditis elegans. RNAcentral describes it as "Non-coding transcript of protein-coding gene C05B5.5b". The record is from RNAcentral. Lineage: Eukaryota; Metazoa; Nematoda; Chromadorea; Rhabditida; Rhabditidae.